RNAcentral lists this unclassified non-coding RNA (165 nucleotides) under uncultured fungus. RNAcentral describes it as "sequence contains ITS1, 5.8S rRNA gene". Lineage: Eukaryota; Fungi. The record is from RNAcentral.
GAAAUCACCGGCCUAGCCGGUAUAAAAUUCUAUCCACCCUUGUGUGCAAAUAAUGGAAAAAGAGAGAAAAUUGGAUACUUUUUGUAUCCAACUUCUCUAAAAUUCUUUAUAAACUCCAUCAAAUUUUGAAUGAAAACAAUUUUUUUUAAUAAAAAAAAUAUUAUA